UUUUAUUUAAAGAGGGAGGUGGACAGAGAGAACAAGGUUACAGAAAACUAAAUUAAUUUCUUUGAAAAAAGAGUCCAUGUUAUUACAUUUGUUUUCUGUAGAUGGUAUUACUUUUGCAAGGGAGAUUUUCUAAUUUGACACAGAACAACUACACUGAAAAUACUGUAUAAGAAAUACUGGAGGAUGCUUCCCACUUAAGCAGAAGUUUGCUUGGUAAUCUAAAGGCAGAAUACCUAAACUAGGCAAAAGUAUUUGCAAAGCUGAGAGAUACUGUGCUGUUCCCAGUCUUCACACAACCUGGAAAUGGUGACCUGACUUUAAGCAGCCUUGAAAGUCUCCAACUUAAAAAAAAAAAAAAAAACAAGCAAAAUAAACUCAGCUGCCAACCCGGUGAGCCAGGAUUAGGCACCAGUGGAAGACAGGGAUUUCUGAUUGUAUCCUGUCUCGCCAAAGACUCACCACUGCCCCUGCACAAACCUACACUGCAUUAGGGUAAUGCCCAACAUCAGCACAUUACAAUCGUGCCUACAAAGAUGCACACAUGGUGAUCCUACACUGGGACAGCAUCCUGGCUGUGAAGUAUCCCUGUGUGUAGGUAGUAAAAGCCAGACCUUACAUUGUGUUGUGAAGGAUUGCACUGUAUCAGGAACACAUCCUACUUAUCACUUAUUAUUACCUAUAAACCCACCUGAUCACUAGUAGCUAAAGAAUAGUGACAUAAAAAGAAGAGCAGGGGAAAUAUCCCUCUUUCCUUGCAAUAAGUCUCUAGGAUUGUUUUGCCCUUUUAACUCACAGUUGCCUCACUUUGUCACCAGUUACACAGGCAAAGAAUGGAAACAUGCCCUUGCUGAGCAGACAAAGUGCAAUUGAUUAUGUGAAGUUAAACUGACUGAGAAGGGGAUGGACAUGAGGGUGCUUGUCCCUAUAAAAUCUGCUGAGAUUGUGUCAAUAUCCCUUGGGUGGGUGGUGAAGCCAAAUUGCAGAGAAACCCAGAAGCUGCAGAAGACCCAGUGGAACAUUCAAUGCUCUACAGUGGCAAAAGGCUGGCUCGACGCUGCUCAGCUGUGGUCCAGUUGACUUCACGGAGGUUUGGGUUUUGCUAAGUUAGGAAACAUCUUGCUGAUGUAGACUAUGUCUGGAGCAAGCAGCAGUGUGAGAAGCAGACGCAUUUGUAGUGUAUAACUGGAUACCUGUGGCUGUAAGGGAAGGAAAUCAUCCGAGUGUCAGCGCAGAAAACACUGCUGGUAUUUUAACACGUACAUUGUACUGAAUCCCCGUCCCGCUGUCCCUGUAAACACCAUUGUGCUUUUCAUCUACCAUAUUUGCAGCAGCAGCAGCAGGGAGAUUUCGCCUGAAAUGGGAUUGCUGACCCA
Molecule: long non-coding RNA, 1373 nt
Filed under: Taeniopygia guttata (zebra finch)
Lineage: Eukaryota; Metazoa; Chordata; Aves; Passeriformes; Estrildidae
Description: lncRNA (ENSTGUG00000022453.1)
Source: RNAcentral